This 41-nucleotide ribosomal RNA is filed under the name Fusarium acuminatum. RNAcentral's name for it is "partial 18S ribosomal RNA". The record is from RNAcentral. Lineage: Eukaryota; Fungi; Ascomycota; Sordariomycetes; Hypocreales; Nectriaceae. RNAcentral also lists the same sequence under 18 other names.
CGUAACAAGGUCUCCGUUGGUGAACCAGCGGAGGGAUCAUU